AGUCGAGGGGCAGCAUGGUCUUAGCUUGCUAAGGCCGAUGGCGACCGGCGCACGGGUGAGUAACACGUAUCCAACCUGCCGUCUACUCUUGGACAGCCUUCUGAAAGGAAGAUUAAUACAAGAUGGCAUCAUGAGUCCACAUGUUCACAUGAUUAAAGGUAUUCCGGUAGACGAUGGGGAUGCGUUCCAUUAGAUAGUAGGCGGGGUAACGGCCCACCUAGUCUUCGAUGGAUAGGGGUUCUGAGAGGAAGGUCCCCCACAUUGGAACUGAGACACGGUCCAAACUCCUACGGGAGGCAGCAGUGAGGAAUAUUGGUCAAUGGGCGAGAGCCUGAACCAGCCAAGUAGCGUGAAGGAUGACUGCCCUAUGGGUUGUAAACUUCUUUUAUAAAGGAAUAAAGUCGGGUAUGGAUACCCGUUUGCAUGUACUUUAUGAAUAAGGAUCGGCUAACUCCGUGCCAGCAGCCGCGGUAAUACGGAGGAUCCGAGCGUUAUCCGGAUUUAUUGGGUUUAAAGGGAGCGUAGAUGGAUGUUUAAGUCAGUUGUGAAAGUUUGCGGCUCAACCGUAAAAUUGCAGUUGAUACUGGAUAUCUUGAGUGCAGUUGAGGCAGGCGGAAUUCGUGGUGUAGCGGUGAAAUGCUUAGAUAUCACGAAGAACUCCGAUUGCGAAGGCAGCCUGCUAAGCUGCAACUGACAUUGAGGCUCGAAAGUGUGGGUAUCAAACAGGAUUAGAUACCCUGGUAGUCCACACGGUAAACGAUGAAUACUCGCUGUUUGCGAUAUACAGCAAGCGGCCAAGCGAAAGCGUUAAGUAUUCCACCUGGGGAGUACGCCGGCAACGGUGAAACUCAAAGGAAUUGACGGGGCCCGCACAAGCGGAGGAACAUGUGGUUUAAUUCG
This 900-nucleotide ribosomal RNA is filed under the name uncultured bacterium. RNAcentral describes it as "bacterial SSU rRNA". It matches the Rfam family "Bacterial small subunit ribosomal RNA", at positions 60 to 953 of the family's 1533-position model. The record is from RNAcentral.